AACGUAGGAGACAAACGUUAUCCGGAGUUACUGGGCGUAAAGGGCGUGUAGGCGGUCUGUUAAGUCUGGCGUGAAAGCUCUCGGCUAAACCGGGAGAGGUCGUUGGAUACUGGCACGACUAGAGGAUGGUAGAGGCGUGUGGAAUUCCGGGUGUAGUGGUGAAAUGCGUAGAGAUCUGGAGGAACACCGGUGGCGAAGGCGACGUCCUGGACCGGCAUUGACGCUGAGGCGCGAAAGCCAGGGGAGCAAACGGG
Molecule: ribosomal RNA, 254 nt
Filed under: uncultured bacterium
Lineage: Bacteria
Description: partial 16S ribosomal RNA
Rfam family: Bacterial small subunit ribosomal RNA
Source: RNAcentral